This 335-nucleotide ribosomal RNA is filed under the name uncultured bacterium. Its description in RNAcentral is "bacterial SSU rRNA". It matches the Rfam family "Bacterial small subunit ribosomal RNA", at positions 173 to 507 of the family's 1533-position model. The record is from RNAcentral.
AUAAUAUAUUGACUGGCAUCAGUUGAUAUUGAAAGCUCCGGCGGAUAAAGAUGGGCACGCGCAAGAUUAGCUAGUUGGUGAGGUAACGGCUCACCAAGGCGAUGAUCUUUAGGGGCCUGAGAGGGUGAUCCCCCACACUGGUACUGAGACACGGACCAGACUCCUACGGGAGGCAGCAGUGAGGAAUAUUGGUCAAUGGGUGCAAGCCUGAACCAGCCAUCCCCGCGUGAAGGACGACUGCCCUAUGGGUUGUAAACUUCUUUUGUAUAGGGAUAAACCUACUCUCGUGAGGGUAGCUGAAGGUACUAUACGAAUAAGCACCGGCUAACUCCGUG